Molecule: ribosomal RNA, 497 nt
Filed under: uncultured bacterium
Lineage: Bacteria
Description: partial 16S ribosomal RNA
Rfam family: Bacterial small subunit ribosomal RNA
Source: RNAcentral
GAUGAACGCUGGCGGCGUGCCUAAUACAUGCAAUUCGAGCGAACAGAUGAGGAGCUUGCUCCUCUGACUUUAGCGGCGGACGGGUGAGUAACACGUGGAUAACCUACCUAUAAGACUGGGAUAACUUCGGGAAACCGGAGCUAAUACCGGAUAAUAUAUUGAACCGCAUGGUUCAAUAGUGAAAGACGGUUUUGCUGUCACUUAUAGAUGGAUCCGCGCCGCAUUAGCUAGUUGGUAAGGUAACGGCUUACCAAGGCAACGAUGCGUAGCCGACCUGAGAGGGUGAUCGGCCACACUGGAACUGAGACACGGUCCAGACUCCUACGGGAGGCAGCAGUAGGGAAUCUUCCGCAAUGGGCGAAAGCCUGACGGAGCAACGCCGCGUGAGUGAUGAAGGUCUUCGGAUCGUAAAACUCUGUUAUUAGGGAAGAACAAAUGUGUAAGUAACUAUGCACGUCUUGACGGUACCUAAUCAGAAAGCAACGGCUAACUACGUG